Non-coding RNA from Cordylochernes scorpioides, 112 nucleotides. Lineage: Eukaryota; Metazoa; Arthropoda; Arachnida; Pseudoscorpiones; Chernetidae. The record is from the annotation of a GenBank genome assembly.
UCAGUUAUGCGUUGAAAGCACCGGUUCUCGUUCGAUCAUCGAAGUUAAGCAACGUUGGGCCCGGUCAGUACUUGGGAGGGUGACCACCUGGGAACACCGGGUGCUGUAAACC